GGCUCCGUGGUCUAAUGGUAAGGACACGACCCUUUCAAGGUCGUAAUGCUGGGUUCAAGUCCCGCCGGAGUCA
RNAcentral lists this transfer RNA (73 nucleotides) under Caudoviricetes sp. RNAcentral describes it as "tRNA-Glu". It matches the Rfam family "tRNA". From Rfam's summary of the family: Transfer RNA (tRNA) molecules are approximately 80 nucleotides in length. Their secondary structure includes four short double-helical elements and three loops (D, anti-codon, and T loops). The record is from RNAcentral. Lineage: Duplodnaviria; Heunggongvirae; Uroviricota; Caudoviricetes.